RNAcentral lists this long non-coding RNA (1130 nucleotides) under Medicago truncatula (barrel medic). Its description in RNAcentral is "long non-coding RNA (MTRU_LNC008365)". The record is from RNAcentral. Lineage: Eukaryota; Viridiplantae; Streptophyta; Magnoliopsida; Fabales; Fabaceae.
CCGCAUCUUCAGCACAAAUGCGAUAAGAGUUACAACAAGAGUUCAACAAACAAAAUAACAAGACUAACCAAUGCCUAGACAAGCAAGAGGAUAUGUUAGCCAACUAUGAACUCCUAAAACAUGAACAACAUUCGCCGCCUUCAUCCACCAGUAGGAAUGAAUUUUCACUUUUUCCAACACAAAGAAGCCACAUGAGUUGUAUAAAAGAUCUUUUAGUUGUCGGUCCGCCUAUCAAAUGAGAAAACUAGAGAAAAUGGUCAGCAGUCAGCACCAUCAAACGGAUCAGCCCCAGAGACCACAAUCCAACGACAAACUAAAUGCCACUGAAAAUAGUACAAGAAAAAAAAAAGAUUAACUUUUUCCACUUCACCGCAGCCGGUCACACACAUUUGCGCCUCCUGAGAGAGAAUCCCACGAGCCACAAGAUUCGCUUUGGUUGGCAACCUGUUGCGGAGAAGUCUCCAAGAAAAAAUAGACACCUUAACUGGGACAUGUCGGUGCCAUAUCAUAUCUGAUACCACAUUCACAACCUGACUGUCAUCUGAUGUGAGCAUAUGGUAAGUGCUACGCACAGAGUAAACAUCACUAUCCUCAAGCCUUCACCUCCACUGAUCAGAGAGCUGAACUUGCCAAGUAACAUCAGAUAACAACAGCCUACACUUCCUUAACAGCUCCUCCUCCCACUCCCACAAUCUCCGCCUCCACUGCCACACUACUCCUCCUCUUCCCAGCCUGACGCAUGCAUAUCCCACACUGAACUCAACUUAUUGACACUUAACUCAUACAAGCGUCUAAACUGCACCACCAACAAAAUACCAUCCAACCACUGAUCAGUCCAAACAAAUGUAUCAUUCUUUUUAAUUCAAUGGUCCUUUAUGUUAUUUAAUUAUAUUAGAUUGUCUUUUAUCAUUCUUUUUUCUCAUGUGUGUCUUUUAUCAUUACAAACACGCACAAGUUUAUCUCUUUAUGUUUUUUCUUCAUUUUUAUUAGAAAACUGAUGAGGUGGUGGUAAGUCACAUAGGAUAGUUUGCUAUAAUUUUUUUAUGUUGAAAGUAAUAAAACCCAUAACUAUCCUACAUAAAUUGACAUCAGACAAUUGAAUUAAAACUUGAGGAGGAAUACAAUCUAAG